GACGAACGCUGGCGGCGUGCCUAAUACAUGCAAGUAGAACGCUGAAGGAGGAGCUUGCUUCUCUGGAUGAGUUGCGAACGGGUGAGUAACGCGUAGGUAACCUGCCUGGUAGCGGGGGAUAACUAUUGGAAACGAUAGCUAAUACCGCAUAAGAGUAGAUGUUGCAUGACAUUUGCUUAAAAGGUGCAAUUGCAUCACUACCAGAUGGACCUGCGUUGUAUUAGCUAGUUGGUGGGGUAACGGCUCACCAAGGCGACGAUACAUAGCCGACCUGAGAGGGGGGUCCGCCACACUGGGACUGAGACACGGCCCAGACUCCUACGGGAGGCAGCAGUAGGGGAUCUUCGGCCAUGGACGGAAGUCUGACCGGGCAACGCCGCGUGAGUGAAGAAGGUUUUCGGAUCGUAAAGCUCUGUUGUAAGAGAAGAACGAGUGUGAGAGUGGAAAGUUCACACUGUGACGGUAUCUUACCAGAAAGGGACGGCUAACUACGUG
Molecule: ribosomal RNA, 495 nt
Filed under: uncultured bacterium
Lineage: Bacteria
Description: partial 16S ribosomal RNA
Rfam family: Bacterial small subunit ribosomal RNA
Source: RNAcentral